RNAcentral lists this ribosomal RNA (475 nucleotides) under uncultured organism. Its description in RNAcentral is "partial 16S ribosomal RNA". It matches the Rfam family "Bacterial small subunit ribosomal RNA", at positions 330 to 797 of the family's 1533-position model. The record is from RNAcentral.
CGUACACUCCUGCGGGAGGCAGCAGUGGGGAAUUUUGGACAAUGGGCGAAAGCCUGAUCCAGCCAUGCCGCGUGCAGGAUGAAGGCCUUCGGGUUGUAAACUGCUUUUGUACGGAACGAAACGGCCUUUUCUAAUAAAGAGGGCUAAUGACGGUACCGUAAGAAUAAGCACCGGCUAACUACGUGCCAGCAGCCGCGGUAAUACGUAGGGUGCAAGCGUUAAUCGGAAUUACUGGGCGUAAAGCGUGCGCAGGCGGUUAUGUAAGACAGUUGUGAAAUCCCCGGGCUCAACCUGGGAACUGCAUCUGUGACUGCAUAGCUAGAGUACGGUAGAGGGGGAUGGAAUUCCGCGUGUAGCAGUGAAAUGCGUAGAUAUGCGGAGGAACACCGAUGGCGAAGGCAAUCCCCUGGACCUGUACUGACGCUCAUGCACGAAAGCGUGGGGAGCAAACAGGAUUAGAAACCCUAGUAGUCCC